RNAcentral lists this ribosomal RNA (1359 nucleotides) under uncultured bacterium. RNAcentral's name for it is "16S ribosomal RNA". It matches the Rfam family "Bacterial small subunit ribosomal RNA". The record is from RNAcentral.
UUAGAGUUUGAUCCUGGCUCAAGACGAACGCUGGCGGCGCGCCUAACACAUGCAAGUCGAACGAGCGAGAGAGAGCUUGCUUUCUUGAGCGAGUGGCGAACGGGUGAGUAACGCGUGAGGAACCUGCCUCAAAGAGGGGGACAACAGUUGGAGACGACUGCUAAUACCGCAUAAGCCCACAGCUCGACAUCGAGCAGAGGGAAAAGGAGCAAUCCGCUUUGAGAUGGCCUCGCGUCCGAUUAGCUAGUUGGUGAGGUAACGGCCCACCAAGGCGACGAUCGGUAGCCGGACUGAGAGGUUGAACGGCCACAUUGGGACUGAGACACGGCCCAGACUCCUACGGGAGGCAGCAGUGGGGAAUAUUGCACAAUGGGGGAAACCCUGAUGCAGCGACGCCGCGUGGAGGAAGAAGGUCUUCGGAUUGUAAACUCCUGUUGUUGAGGAAGAUAAUGACGGUACUCAACAAGGAAGUGACGGCUAACUACGUGCCAGCAGCCGCGGUAAAACGUAGGUCACAAGCGUUGUCCGGAAUUACUGGGUGUAAAGGGAGCGCAGGCGGGAAGACAAGUUGGAAGUGAAAUCCAUGGGCUCAACCCAUGAACUGCUUUCAAAACUGUUUUUCUUGAGUAGUGCAGAGGUAGGCGGAAUUCCCGGUGUAGCGGUGGAAUGCGUAGAUAUCGGGAGGAACACCAGUGGCGAAGGCGGCCUACUGGGCACCAACUGACGCUGAGGCUCGAAAGUGUGGGUAGCAAACAGGAUUAGAUACCCUGGUAGUCCACACUGUAAACGAUGAUUACUAGGUGUUGGAGGAUUGACCCCUUCAGUGCCGCAGUUAACACAAUAAGUAAUCCACCUGGGGAGUACGACCGCAAGGUUGAAACUCAAAGGAAUUGACGGGGGCCCGCACAAGCAGUGGAGUAUGUGGUUUAAUUCGACGCAACGCGAAGAACCUUACCAAGUCUUGACAUCCUGCGACGGUGCUGGAAACAGUACUUUCCUUCGGGACGCAGAGACAGGUGGUGCAUGGUUGUCGUCAGCUCGUGUCGUGAGAUGUUGGGUUAAGUCCCGCAACGAGCGCAACCCUUAUGGUCAGUUACUACGCAAGAGGACUCUGGCCAGACUGCCGUUGACAAAACGGAGGAAGGUGGGGAUGACGUCAAAUCAUCAUGCCCUUUAUGACUUGGGCUACACACGUACUACAAUGGCGUUAAACAAAGAGAAGCAAGACCGCGAGGUGGAGCAAAACUCAGAAACAACGUCCCAGUUCGGACUGCAGGCUGCAACUCGCCUGCACGAAGUCGGAAUUGCUAGUAAUCGCAGAUCAGCAUGCUGCGGUGAAUACGUUCCCGGGCCUUGCAC